Molecule: long non-coding RNA, 81 nt
Organism: Bradysia coprophila
Lineage: Eukaryota; Metazoa; Arthropoda; Insecta; Diptera; Sciaridae
Source: RefSeq, a predicted model, not a curated record
CAGAAGAACGAUGAAAACAAUGAUGUUUCUUAAAAUCCCGAAAUCUAUCUUUCUCCGACUGUAAAACGAAAAUUAAUUUUU